This 253-nucleotide ribosomal RNA is filed under the name uncultured bacterium. RNAcentral describes it as "partial 16S ribosomal RNA". It matches the Rfam family "Bacterial small subunit ribosomal RNA", at positions 524 to 776 of the family's 1533-position model. The record is from RNAcentral.
UACAGAGGGUGCGAGCGUUGUUCGGAAUUAUUGGGCGUAAAGGGCGCGUAGGCGGUGCCACAAGUCACUUGUGAAAUCCCCGGGCUUAACUCGGGGCCUGCAGGCGAAACUGUGGUGCUGGAGUAUGGGAGAGGUGCGUGGAAUUCCCGGUGCAGCGGUGAAAUGCGUAGAUAUCGGGAGGAACACCUGUGGCGAAAGCGGCGCACUGGACCAUAACUGACGCUGAGGCGCGAAAGCUAGGGGAGCAAACAGG